UAGCUAAUUCAUGGAGUCUUUGAUAACUAGAGCAGCAGUAUGGUUUCCUUUUUUAUAGACACAAUGAUUUAGAUUUUACAUUUGAACUCAACAGUAGAUGAAAAUGGGAGUUGUGGCUCUCUUUCUGAUUUUUUUAAUUUUUUUACUCUAUAUAAUUUGAGCCUAGAUGUCUCUUUUAUAUGUUAUGUAUUGCCCUGUCCAAGGGCAAUCUGCCGUGGUUGGAAAAUGCUCCAGUAAUUGUCAUCUUUCUUUCUAAUAUUUUGGCUUCACAAAACAUUCAUUAAUCU
RNAcentral lists this long non-coding RNA (287 nucleotides) under Spirodela polyrhiza (greater duckweed). RNAcentral describes it as "long non-coding RNA (SPOL_LNC002616)". Lineage: Eukaryota; Viridiplantae; Streptophyta; Magnoliopsida; Alismatales; Araceae. The record is from RNAcentral.